This 354-nucleotide ribosomal RNA is filed under the name uncultured Tylospora. RNAcentral describes it as "eukaryotic LSU rRNA". The stretch from base 1 to 123 matches the Rfam family "5.8S ribosomal RNA", at positions 33 to 154 of the family's 154-position model. Lineage: Eukaryota; Fungi; Basidiomycota; Agaricomycetes; Atheliales; Atheliaceae. The record is from RNAcentral.
UCGAUGAAGAACGCAGCGAAAUGCGAUAAGUAAUGUGAAUUGCAGAUUUUCAGUGAAUCAUCGAAUCUUUGAACGCACCUUGCGCUCCUUGGUAUUCCGAGGAGCAUGCCUGUUUGAGUGUCAUUAAAUCCUCAACCCCACCGAUUUGCUUCGGGGGAUUGGACUUGGAGCGUGCUGGCGAAGGUCGGCUCCUCUUUAAAUGCAUCAGCGGAAGAAACCUUUGUCUUUCCCGCCUUCGGUGUGAUAAUUGUGUUGCGCCGUGGUGGAACUUCAACGAUCCGCUUACAAUGGUCUUCGGACGAAACCUCAUGUCAUCUUGACCUCAAAUCAGGUAGGACUACCCGCUGAACUUAA